AAUGGGUCAGCGACUUAUAUUCUGUAGCAAGGUUAACCGAAUAGGGGAGCCGAAGGGAAACCGAGUCUUAACUGGGCGUUAAGUUGCAGGGUAUAGACCCGAAACCCGGUGAUCUAGCCAUGGGCAGGUUGAAGGUUGGGUAACACUAACUGGAGGACCGAACCGACUAAUGUUGAAAAAUUAGCGGAUGACUUGUGGCUGGGGGUGAAAGGCCAAUCAAACCGGGAGAUAGCUGGUUCUCCCCGAAAGCUAUUUAGGUAGCGCCUCGUGAAUUCAUCUCCGGGGGUAGAGCACUGUUUCGGCAAGGGGGUCAUCCCGACUUACCAACCCGAUGCAAACUGCGAAUACCGGAGAAUGUUAUCACGGGAGACACACGGCGGGUGCUAACGUCCGUCGUGAAGAGGGAAACAACCCAGACCGCCAGCUAAGGUCCCAAAGUCAUGGUUAAGUGGGAAACGAUGUGGGAAGGCCCAGACAGCCAGGAUGUUGGCUUAGAAGCAGCCAUCAUUUAAAGAAAGCGUAAUAGCUCACUGGUCGAGUCGGCCUGCGCGGAAGAUGUAACGGGGCUAAACCAUGCACCGAAGCUGCGGCAGCGACACUAUGUGUUGUUGGGUAGGGGAGCGUUCUGUAAGCCUGCGAAGGUGUACUGUGAGGUAUGCUGGAGGUAUCAGAAGUGCGAAUGCUGACAUAAGUAACGAUAAAGCGGGUGAAAAGCCCGCUCGCCGGAAGACCAAGGGUUCCUGUCCAACGUUAAUCGGGGCAGGGUGAGUCGACCCCUAAGGCGAGGCCGAAAGGCGUAGUCGAUGGGAAACAGGUUAAUAUUCCUGUACUUGGUGUUACUGCGAAGGGGGGACGGAGAAGGCUAUGUUGGCCGGGCGACGGUUGUCCCGGUUUAAGCGUGUAGGCUGGUUUUCCAGGCAAAUCCGGAAAAUCAAGGCUGAGGCGUGAUGACGAGGCACUACGGUGCUGAAGCAACAAAUGCCCUGCUUCCAGGAAAAGCCUCUAAGCAUCAGGUAACAUCAAAUCGUACCCCAAACCGACACAGGUGGUCAGGUAGAGAAUACCAAGGCGCUUGAGAGAACUCGGGUGAAGGAACUAGGCAAAAUGGUGCCGUAACUUCGGGAGAAGGCACGCUGAUAUGUAGGUGAAGCGACUUGCUCGUGGAGCUGAAAUCAGUCGAAGAUACCAGCUGGCUGCAACUGUUUAUUAAAAACACAGCACUGUGCAAACACGAAAGUGGACGUAUACGGUGUGACGCCUGCCCGGUGCCGGAAGGUUAAUUGAUGGGGUUAGCGGUAACGCGAAGCUCUUGAUCGAAGCCCCGGUAAACGGCGGCCGUAACUAUAACGGUCCUAAGGUAGCGAAAUUCCUUGUCGGGUAAGUUCCGACCUGCACGAAUGGCGUAAUGAUGGCCAGGCUGUCUCCACCCGAGACUCAGUGAAAUUGAACUCGCUGUGAAGAUGCAGUGUACCCGCGGCAAGACGGAAAGACCCCGUGAACCUUUACUAUAGCUUGACACUGAACAUUGAGCCUUGAUGUGUAGGAUAGGUGGGAGGCUUUGAAGUGUGGACGCCAGUCUGCAUGGAGCCGACCUUGAAAUACCACCCUUUAAUGUUUGAUGUUCUAACGUUGGCCCCUGAUCGGGGUUGCGGACAGUGUCUGGUGGGUAGUUUGACUGGGGCGGUCUCCUCCUAAAGAGUAACGGAGGAGCACGAAGGUUGGCUAAUCCUGGUCGGACAUCAGGAGGUUAGUGCAAUGGCAUAAGCCAGCUUGACUGCGAGCGUGACGGCGCGAGCAGGUGCGAAAGCAGGUCAUAGUGAUCCGGUGGUUCUGAAUGGAAGGGCCAUCGCUCAACGGAUAAAAGGUACUCCGGGGAUAACAGGCUGAUACCGCCCAAGAGUUCAUAUCGACGGCGGUGUUUGGCACCUCGAUGUCGGCUCAUCACAUCCUGGGGCUGAAGUAGGUCCCAAGGGUAUGGCUGUUCGCCAUUUAAAGUGGUACGCGAGCUGGGUUUAGAACGUCGUGAGACAGUUCGGUCCCUAUCUGCCGUGGGCGCUGGAGAACUGAGGGGGGCUGCUCCUAGUACGAGAGGACCGGAGUGGACGCAUCACUGGUGUUCGGGUUGUCAUGCCAAUGGCACUGCCCGGUAGCUAAAUGCGGAAGAGAUAAGUGCUGAAAGCAUCUAAGCACGAAACUUGCC
This 2200-nucleotide ribosomal RNA is filed under the name Escherichia coli. RNAcentral describes it as "partial 23S ribosomal RNA". It matches the Rfam family "Bacterial large subunit ribosomal RNA", at positions 614 to 2798 of the family's 2925-position model. The record is from RNAcentral. Lineage: Bacteria; Pseudomonadati; Pseudomonadota; Gammaproteobacteria; Enterobacterales; Enterobacteriaceae.